RNAcentral lists this ribosomal RNA (253 nucleotides) under uncultured bacterium. Its description in RNAcentral is "partial 16S ribosomal RNA". It matches the Rfam family "Bacterial small subunit ribosomal RNA", at positions 524 to 776 of the family's 1533-position model. The record is from RNAcentral.
UACGUAGGGGGCAAGCGUUAUCCGGAUUUACUGGGUGUAAAGGGAGCGCAGACGGCAUAGCAAGUCUGAAGUGAAAGCCCGUGGCUCAACCGCGGAACUGCUUUGGAAACUGUUAAGCUGGAGUACUGGAGAGGCAAGCGGAAUUCCUAGUGUAGCGGUGAAAUGCGUAGAUAUUAGGAGGAACACCAGUGGCGAAGGCGGCUUGCUGGACAGAGACUGACGUUGAGGCUCGAAAGCGUGGGGAGCAAACAGG